AGUCAUAUGCUUGUCUCAAAGAUUAAGCCAUGCAUGUCUAAGUACAAGCCUCACUAAGGUGAAACCGCGAAUGGCUCAUUAAAUCACACCUAAUCUACUGGAUAGUAGUCAGUUACUCGGAUACCUGCGGUAAUUCUGCAGCUAAUACGUGCAAACAAGCCUCGACUUCGGAAGAGGCGCUUUUAUUAGAUCAAAACCGAUCGGCUUCGGCCGUCCUUUUGGUGAUUCUGAAUAACUUUGAGCUGAUCGCAUGGCCUCGAGCCGGCGACAUAUCCAUCGAAGGUGUGCCCUAUCAUCUGUCGACUGUGGCAUAGACGCCCACAGUGGAUUUGACGGGUAACGGGGAAUCAGGGUUCGAUUCCGGAGAGGGAGCCUUAAAAACGGCUACCACAUCCAAGGAAGGCAGCAGGCACGCAAAUUACCCAAUGACCGAAGGUCGAGGUAGUGACGAAAAAUAACGAUACGGGACUCAUCCGAGGCCCCGUAAUCGGAAUGAGUACACUUUAAAACCUUUCCAACGAGGAUCUAUU
This 530-nucleotide ribosomal RNA is filed under the name uncultured eukaryote. RNAcentral's name for it is "SSU rRNA". It matches the Rfam family "Eukaryotic small subunit ribosomal RNA", at positions 22 to 549 of the family's 1831-position model. The record is from RNAcentral.